Molecule: ribosomal RNA, 253 nt
Filed under: uncultured bacterium
Lineage: Bacteria
Description: partial 16S ribosomal RNA
Rfam family: Bacterial small subunit ribosomal RNA
Source: RNAcentral
UACUUAGGUGGCAAGCGAUGUCCGGAAUUAUUGUGCGUAAAGCGCGCGCAGGUGGUUCCUUAAGUCUGAUGUGAAAGCCCACGGCUCAACCGUGGAGGGUCAUUGGAAACUGGUGAACUUGAGUGCAGAAGAGGAAAUGGGAAUUCCAAGUGUAGCGGUGAAAUGCGUAGAGAGUUGGAGGAACACCAGUGGCGAAGGCGACUUUCUGGUCUGUAACUGACACUGAGACGUGAAUGCGUGGGGAACAAACAGG